GACGAACGCUGGCGGCGUGCCUAAUACAUGCAAGUAGAACGCUGAAGGAGGAGCUUGCUUCUCCGGAUGAGUUGCGAACGGGUGAGUAACGCGUAGGUAACCUGCCUUGUAGCGGGGGAUAACUAUUGGAAACGAUAGCUAAUACCGCAUAAGAGUAGAUGUCGCAUGACAGUUGCUUAAAAGGUGCAACUGCACCACUACCACAUGGACCUGCGUUGUAUUAGCUAGGUGGUGAGGUAACGGCGCACCAAGGCAAGGAUACAUAGCGAGACGGAGAUGGGGAUCGGCCAGCCUGGGAGUGAGACCGGGCACAGAGUGCUACAGGAGGCAGCCGUAGGCAAUCUGCGGGAAUGGACGGAAGUUUGAGCGCGAAACGCGGAGUGAGGGAGGAAGGUCUUCGGAUCGGAAAGCUCUGCUGUAAGAGAAGAACGAGUGUGCGAGUGGAAAGUUGAGAGUGUGACGGUAUCUUACAAGAAAGGGCCGGCUAACUACGUG
Molecule: ribosomal RNA, 495 nt
Filed under: uncultured bacterium
Lineage: Bacteria
Description: partial 16S ribosomal RNA
Rfam family: Bacterial small subunit ribosomal RNA
Source: RNAcentral